This 30-nucleotide ribosomal RNA is filed under the name Desmodesmus opoliensis. RNAcentral describes it as "partial 26S ribosomal RNA". Lineage: Eukaryota; Viridiplantae; Chlorophyta; Chlorophyceae; Sphaeropleales; Scenedesmaceae. RNAcentral also lists the same sequence under 16 other names. The record is from RNAcentral.
AUUCGACCUGAGCUCAGGCAAGGCUACCCG